GUAUGAUAUGGAAGGAAAGUUAGCACUCCCCUUAACAAGGAUGGACAAGGCCAUUGUGCCUGACAACACACAUAGGGUUAAGAUGUUUCCACCUACUUUAUGGCAUCUAAUCAUCCUUUUCC
Small nuclear RNA from Perognathus longimembris pacificus (Pacific pocket mouse), 122 nucleotides. The record is from RefSeq and is a predicted model, not a curated record. NCBI's taxonomy places the organism in Eukaryota, Metazoa, Chordata, Mammalia, Rodentia, Heteromyidae.